AGGUAAGCUACUAAGAGCGAAUGGUGGAUGCCUUGGUUGGUAGAGGCGAUGAAAGACGUGCUAGACUGCGAUAAGUCUCGGGGAGUUGUCAAGGAGCUUUGAUCCGGGAAUUUCUGAAUGGGGAAACCCAGUAUAUAGUGAUAUAUACUACCUAUAUGGAGCAAACGUGGGGAAUUGAAACAUCUUAGUACCCACAGGAAAAGAAAUCAAAUGAGAUUACGAAAGUAGCGGCGAGCGAAAUCGUAAAAGGGCAAACCACUAGUUUACUAGUGGGGUUGUAGGACUGUAACAUAGACUAAAAAGAGUUAAUAGAAUAAUCUGGAAAGUUUAAGCAUAGAGGGUGAUACUCCCGUAUAUGAAAACUCUUUUUUACUUAACAGUAUCCUGAGUAGGGCGAGGCACGUGAAACCUUGUCUGAAUCUGGGAAGACCACUUUCCAACCCUAAAUACUACUACCAAACCGAUAGUGAACAAGUACCGUGAGGGAAAGGUGAAAAGAACGGGGGUGACCCGAGUGAAAUAGAACCUGAAACCAUUUGCUUACAAUCAUUCAGAGCACGAUUCUUUAUGACGUGUGAUGGACUGCCUUUUGCAUAAUGAGCCUGCGAGUUGUGAUAUCUGGCAAGGUUAAGGAAAUCCGGAGCCGUAGCGAAAGCAAGUCUUAAUAGGGCGUUUAGUCAGAUAUUGCAGACCCGAAACGAAGUGAUCUAUCCAUGAGCAGGUUGAAACCGGUGUAAGAGCCGGCGGAGGACCGAACCCGCUGACGUUGAAAAGUCUUGGGAUGACUUGUGGAUAGGGGUGAAAGGCCAAUCAAACUUCGUGAUAGCUGGUUCUCUCCGAAAUAUAUUUAGGUAUAGCGUUAUGUAGUAAUUAGAGGGGGUAGAGCACUGAAUGGGCUAGGGCAUACACCAAUGUACCAAACCCUAUCAAACUCCGAAUACCUUUAAUGUAAUCAUAGCAGUCAGGCGGCGAGUGAUAAAAUCCGUCGUCAAAAGGGGAACAACCCAGACUACCGACUAAGGUCCCAAAAUCUUAUUUAAGUGGAAAACGAUGUGAAGUUACUUAAACAACCAGGAGGUUGGCUUAGAAGCAGCCAUCCUUUAAAGAUAGCGUAAUAGCUCACUGGUCUAGUGAUUUUGCGCGGAAAAUAUAACGGGGCUAAAAUAAGUACCGAAGUCGUAGACUUAGUUUUACUAAGUGGUAGGAGAGCGUUGUAUUUAGCGUUGAAGAUGUACCGGUAAGGAGCGUUGGAGCAAAUACAAGUGAGCAUGCAGGCAUGAGUAGCGUUAAAUCAGGUGAGAAUCCUGAUCGCCGAAAACCCAAGGUUUCCUACGCGAUGCUCGUCAUCGUAGGGUUAGUCGGGUCCUAAGCAAAGUCCGAAAGGGGUAUGCGAUGGAAAAUUGGUUAAUAUUCCAAUACCAAUUAUUAUGUGCGAUGGAAGGACGCUUAAAGUUAGUGGAGCUAACUGAUGGAAUAGUUAGUCUAAGGUCGUAGGUUGAGUUAUAGGCAAAUCCGUAACUCUUUAUCCGAAAGCUUAAAGGCUUACAAAGCUCUUCGGAGUAGCGUAAGAAUCCAUGAUACUAUAGAGCCAAGAAAAGUUUCUAAGUUUAGUAAUAAUUGCCCGUACCGUAAACCGACACAGGUGGGUGGGAUGAGUAUUCUAAGGCGCGUGGAAGAACUCUCUUUAAGGAACUCUGCAAAAUAGCACCGUAUCUUCGGUAUAAGGUGUGCCUACCAGGGUGCAAGCCCUAGAGGUUACAACAAAGAGUCCCUCCCGACUGUUUACCAAAAACACAGCACUCUGCUAACACGUAAGUGGAUGUAUAGGGUGUGACGCCUGCCCGGUGCUCGAAGGUUAAUUGAUGGAGUUAGCAUUAGCAAAGCUCUUGAUCGAAGCCCGAGUAAACGGCGGCCGUAACUAUAACGGUCCUAAGGUAGCGAAAUUCCUUGUCGGUUAAAUACCGACCUGCAUGAAUGGCGUAACGAGAUGGGAGCUGUCUCAAAGAGGGAUCCAGUGAAAUUGUAGUGGAGGUGAAAAUUCCUCCUACCCGCGGCAAGACGGAAAGACCCCGUGGACCUUUACUAUAGCUUGACACUGCUACUUGGAUAAAGAUGUGCAGGAUAGGUGGGAGAUUAUGAUCUAUAGAUGCUAGUCUAUAAGGAGUCAUCCUUGAGAUACCACUCUUCUUUAUUCGGGUAGCUAACUAGCCUAAGUUAUCCUUAGGUAGGACAAUGUCUGGUGGGUAGUUUGACUGGGGCGGUCGCCUCCCAAAUAAUAACGGAGGCUUACAAAGGUUGGUUCAAAACGGUUGGAAAUCGUUUGUAGAGUAUAAAGGCAAAAACCAGCUUAACUGCGACACCGACAAGUGGAGCAGAGACGAAAGUCGGUCUUAGUGAUCCGGUGGUUCUGUGUGGAAGGGCCAUCGCUCAAAGGAUAAAAGGUACCCCGGGGAUAACAGGCUGAUCUCCCCCAAGAGCUCACAUCGACGGGGAGGUUUGGCACCUCGAUGUCGGCUCAUCGCAUCCUGGGGCUGGAGCAGGUCCCAAGGGUAUGGCUGUUCGCCAUUUAAAGCGGUACGCGAGCUGGGUUCAGAACGUCGUGAGACAGUUCGGUCCCUAUCUGCCGUGGGCGUAAGAAGAUUGAGGAGAGUUGACCCUAGUACGAGAGGACCGGGUUGAACCAACCACUGGUGUAUAAGUUGUCCUGCCAAGGGCACCGCUUAGUAGCUAAGUUGGGAUGUGAUAAGAGCUGAAAGCAUCUAAGCUCGAAGCCAACUCCAAGAUUAAUCUUCUUUUAAGAGCUCUUAUAGACUAUAAGUUUGAUAGGCUGGGUGUGUAAUUGAUGUAAGUCAUUUAGCUGACCAGUACUAAUAGCUCGUUUGCUUAUCUUA
This 2891-nucleotide ribosomal RNA is filed under the name Campylobacter ureolyticus. Its description in RNAcentral is "23S ribosomal RNA". It matches the Rfam family "Bacterial large subunit ribosomal RNA". The record is from RNAcentral. Lineage: Bacteria; Pseudomonadati; Campylobacterota; Epsilonproteobacteria; Campylobacterales; Campylobacteraceae.